UUUUUAUAGGUGCGGGAAUGCAAGUCGAGCGCGGUUCGUAGCUUCGGUUACGAAUCUAGCGGCGCACGGGUGAGUAACACGUGAGCAACCUACCGUCGAGUUCGGGAUAGCCCUGGGAAACCAGGAUUAAUACCGGAUGUGGUUGUGAUGCGGCAUCGCAUUACAAGUAAAGGGGCAACCCGCUCAAUGAUGGGCUCGCGGCUUAUUAGUUUGUUGGUGGGGUAACGGCCUACCAAGGCGAUGAUGAGUAGGUGAUCUGAGAGGAUGAUCACCCACACUGGGACUGAGACACGGCCCAGACUCCUACGGGAGGCAGCAGUUAGGAAUUUUCCGCAAUGGGCGCAAGCCUGACGGAGCAACGCCGCGUGAGCGAUGAAGGCCUUCGGGUUGUAAAGCUCUGUCGGAUGGGAAGAAAACUGACGGUACCAUCCAAGAAAGCCCCGGCUAACUACGUGCCAGCAGCCGCGGUAAUACGUAGGGGGCAAGCGUUAUCCGGAUUUACUGGGCGUAAAGCGCGUUAAGGCGGCUGUGUAAGUUAGUGGUGAAAUUCCAAAGCUCAACUUUGGAACUGCCGCUAAUACUGCGCGGCUGGAGUGUGAGAGAGGAAAGUGGAAUUCCCGGUGUAGUAGUGAAAUGCGUAGAUAUCGGGAGGAACACCAGUGGCGAAGGCGGCUUUCUGGCUCACAACUGACGCUGUAGCGCGAAAGCGUG
RNAcentral lists this ribosomal RNA (711 nucleotides) under uncultured bacterium. RNAcentral describes it as "bacterial SSU rRNA". It matches the Rfam family "Bacterial small subunit ribosomal RNA", at positions 36 to 763 of the family's 1533-position model. The record is from RNAcentral.